GAAAGCCCUGCUCCAGCUCGGAGACCUGCAGUGAGGGCCUUCCCAGGGCCUGUGGGAUGCUGGGGGCAGGGAUUCUGCUUUUUGUCCCUGGGCUAUAUCUCACUAGCCGUUUGCUGGGAAGGCAGGCGGGGACCUGGACGCCCGCACACCCUCGAGGGCCUCCAGUCUGCAGGUCCCUAGCCCGGGUCCCAGGCAGUGUGCAGUGUGGACCUGCUUGGCAAGGACUCUUUUUAGACUCCACAUGUUAAGUGAUAUUUCUCAAAAGAAGACAUCCAAGUGGUGAACAGAUCUAUGAAAAAAAAAAAUGCUUGUCAUCACAAACCAUCAGGGAAAUGCAAAUUAAAACCACAGUGAGACAUCACCUGCCCUGUUCGAAUGGCUUAUCAAAAAGAUGAAAGACAGCAAGUGUUGGUGAGGGAACUGAGGAGCAGAGUUUCAAUACUUGAUCCAAUGCCAUGCAGCUGGCACAAGGUAGCUCAAAGAUUCCAAUUGAGGAGUUUCCUUCUGGCGCAGAGCUGUCCUGCUGGUUCCUGGAUCGUGGAGGACAUGAGGAGACUCUCUCUCCGGACCCUCUCAUUCUCAGCUUCACGCCGCCUGGGAAAAAAGCUAUUGAACUGGUAGCAGUCCAUUAAGCAUGGACCACAGCACAGUUGUGUUAUUUAUUGGCUCGAAAAGAGGAAAAUUGUACCAAAUGAUAUGUCAGGAGUCUGAAUCCCAGGCAACUUGCUCAAUGCUUUUACAGGAUGGGCUCAUGAAAUCUAUGCACACGUGAACACAAGAAUAGAUCAAGAAAGCAAGAUACACGGAGGGAAGGGUGCUUCCCAAGGAGCCCAGGAGAUGUCUGAGCACAGGGAGAAGAGCUGCCUGGGCCUCACAGCUGCCAGAGUGAGUGCUGAACACCCUGAGCCCAAAGAGGACUGUGUCCACUCACAGGACGGUCAUGGGUUUUCCUUUAUUUGUACUCUGCUGGCACUGAGGUUUCUUUUCUAAGCCACUGACCAGGAAGGCUGGGGUGGAUCCAGGCCACACAGGUCAUGCUGAAGUACACACACAUGGUUGUGGUUGUGGGGGGGUGUCUCUAAAUGAUUGCUUCAUAUCACAGGACACAGCCAGGGCUCUCUGCAAGGUUGCAGCAAUUCACAGAGCACCAAAGAAGCCAAGAGAAUUAGGGGUGGAAGUGGGGAAAGGCCCUUCAUCUGGGGGAUGGUGGAAGGUACAGGAAGAAGGCCUAGAGAAAGCCCUGGAGAGGGGAACCAUGUCUUGUGCAGCCAUCAGUGCACCCAUCAAACAUGGAGCCCAUUGGGUUUCCUUGAAAAUGGAUGACUUAUGUGUAUGUUUUUAAUAUCUCUCUUUUUCCUUUUUUAAUAAAAAAGUAUUAUCAUAGAGCAGACAGAGUUUACAGCCAAACAUAUUGCCAUGCAUUUUCUAAAAAUAAAAUAAUUGCCUUUAUAAAACAAGAACAUAAAGCAGAGAUGCUGCUCAGGGAAGGUAUGGCAAGAGAGAAGGAAAUGAGGCAUGCUCAAACUGGCAGAACUUGGGAAGAUGUGAAAGGGAAACAUACAAUCGUUUGCAGAUGUAAAGAAGAACGGACACUAUCAAUAACACAGCAGGUACAUAGAGGACAGGAUUGUGAAGAAAGUGAACAAAAGAAAAUGGAAGUAAAGAGACAUUGAAAGGGACUUGAGUAUGGGAAGUCAGUAAAAAGGAUCCCAAAUAUUUGUAUUUGAUGAGUCUGAAGGAUAAAAGAACUAAGAUCAUGAAUGAAAAAUUUUUAAAUUAAAAUUAAAACUUAAGAAACAUUUCUGGAAAAAAAAGAAGACUUGAACAUAUAGAUUGAAAGAAAAUAUUGUGCCACCUAGAAACUGCAUACGGAGGUCAACACUAAAGCAUUUCUGAUGAAAAUAACUAAAACCUGAUCCCUUUCCCUUGACUCUCUUUUUAUCUUUGAAAUCUGACUUGAGUCUUUUUCCCAGCUAGAAGAGAGAGGAGCUGGCCUAUGAUGUACUUAAGAAAGUUGUUUUGUACCUAACUGUAUUAGGCCAUUCAUACAUUGCUGUAAAGAAAUACUUUAUAAAGUAAUUUAUGAAGA
Molecule: long non-coding RNA, 2089 nt
Filed under: Homo sapiens (human)
Lineage: Eukaryota; Metazoa; Chordata; Mammalia; Primates; Hominidae
Description: HSALNT0379329
Source: RNAcentral